Molecule: ribosomal RNA, 254 nt
Filed under: uncultured bacterium
Lineage: Bacteria
Description: partial 16S ribosomal RNA
Rfam family: Bacterial small subunit ribosomal RNA
Source: RNAcentral
CUUUCUUUGCUGGCGACCGGCGCACGGGUGAGUAACACGUAUCCAACCUGCCCUUUACUCGGGGAUAGCCUUUCGAAAGAAAGAUUAAUACCCGAUAGUAUAAUGAUUCCGCAUGGUUUCAUUAUUAAAGGAUUCCGGUAAAGGAUGGGGAUGCGUUCCAUUAGAUUGUUGGUGAGGUAACGGCUCACCAAGCCUUCGAUAGAUAGGGGUUCUGAGAGGAAGGUCCCCCACAUUGGAACUGAGACACGGUCCAA